This 179-nucleotide ribosomal RNA is filed under the name uncultured bacterium. Its description in RNAcentral is "partial 16S ribosomal RNA". It matches the Rfam family "Bacterial small subunit ribosomal RNA", at positions 1321 to 1500 of the family's 1533-position model. The record is from RNAcentral.
UGAAGCUGGAAUUGCUAGUAAUGGCAGGUCAGCAUACUGCCGUGAAUACGUUCCCGGGCCUUGUACACACCGCCCGUCACACCAUGAGAGUUGGGAAUACCCGAAGCCUGUGAGCUAACUUAAAGAGGCAGCAGUCGAAGGUAGAGCCAAUGAGUGGGGUGAAGUCGUAACAAGGUAUC